GGUGGCUCAAUGGUAGAAUGCUUGCCUUGCAAGCAUGAGGCCCUGGGUUCGAUUCCUCAGCACCA
Molecule: transfer RNA, 65 nt
Filed under: Dipodomys ordii (Ord's kangaroo rat)
Lineage: Eukaryota; Metazoa; Chordata; Mammalia; Rodentia; Heteromyidae
Rfam family: tRNA
About the family: Transfer RNA (tRNA) molecules are approximately 80 nucleotides in length. Their secondary structure includes four short double-helical elements and three loops (D, anti-codon, and T loops).
Source: Rfam by way of RNAcentral